GGGGCGAUGGCAGAGUGGUUAUUGCGUUAGACUUGAAAUCUAAUCUCUCCGGAGGCGGGGGUUCGAAUCCCCCUCGCUCCU
RNAcentral lists this transfer RNA (81 nucleotides) under archaeon. RNAcentral's name for it is "tRNA-Ser". It matches the Rfam family "tRNA". Rfam says of the family: Transfer RNA (tRNA) molecules are approximately 80 nucleotides in length. Their secondary structure includes four short double-helical elements and three loops (D, anti-codon, and T loops). The record is from RNAcentral.